This 1304-nucleotide ribosomal RNA is filed under the name Davidius fruhstorferi. RNAcentral describes it as "16S ribosomal RNA". The stretch from base 845 to 1240 matches the Rfam family "Bacterial large subunit ribosomal RNA", at positions 2049 to 2651 of the family's 2925-position model. The record is from RNAcentral. Lineage: Eukaryota; Metazoa; Arthropoda; Insecta; Odonata; Gomphidae.
UAUUAAUUUUCUUAUAUUAAUUAUUUUUUUUUGUUUUAGAGAAGUAUCUUUUUUUUUAGUAUAAUUAAAGAACAGAAGUUUUAUUAUUAUAGUUUAUUAGUACCGUGAGGGAAUGGAUGAAAUAUAUUGAAAAUUAUAAUUAUUGUAAGUAAAUUUUAUUUAUUGUACCUUUUGUAUCAGGGUUGAUUAAUUAGGUUUAAUUUAUUUUAUUAUCUCGAUUCCAAAAGAGCUAAUAUUUAGAUUUUAGUUGCUGUUUUAUAAGCAUAUUUAAUUUAAUUUUAGUGGAGAAAUUUUAUUCGUUUUUGGAGGUAUCUAGUUUUUUAAGAAAUAAAUUUAAUUUAGAUUUAAUAAUUAAGUAAUUGAUUGAUUAAUUAUUUAUUAGUUAAAAUUAAAAUAUUAGGGGAUAAGCUCUAAUUUUAUUCUAAAAAUUUUAAUUGUUGUUCAGUUUAUGUAGGCUUUAAAGUAGCUAUCAUUUUUGAGUUCGUUGUAGUUCAAAUUGAAAUAAAUGGAUUUUCUUUUUUUUAGUGUUAUUAUUAAAAUGUUAUUUUUAAUUGUAUAAAUUUUGUAAUAAUGAUUAAAUUAGUAUAUCUUUUUGUAUAAAAAUUAUUCUUUUUUAUGAUUAAAUAAGGAAUUCGGCAAAUAUAACACUCGCCUGUUUAUCAAAAACAUGUCCUCUUGAUUUAUUUAUGAGGUCAGGCCUGCCCGGUGAAUAUUAAGUUUUAACGGCCGCGGUAUUUUGACCGUGCAAAGGUAGCAUAAUCAUUAGUCUUUUAAUUGGAGGCUGGAAUGAAGGGCUUGACGAGGUGUUAACUGUCUCAUUUAAUUUGAUAUUAAAAUUUAACUUUUCAGUUAAAAGGCUGAAAUUAUAUUGGAAGACGAGAAGACCCUAUAGAGCUUUAUAAUUAUAAAGUGUAAUUAGUUGUUGUUAAAUUAUUGUUUUUCAUGCUUUUAAUUAUUUUGUUGGGGUGAUAAAAAUACAAAAAUAACUUUUUUAUUUAAAAAUCAUUGAUAUAUGAAUUAUUAGAUCCAAUUUUAUUGAUUGUUAGAUUAAGUUACCUUAGGGAUAACAGCGUAAUCUUCUUUCAGAGUUCAUAUUUACGGGAAGGAUUGCGACCUCGAUGUUGGAUUAAGAUAAUAAUUAGGUGUAGCCGCUUAAUUUAUAGGUCUGUUCGACCUUUAAAUUCUUACAUGAUCUGAGUUCAAACCGGUUUAAGCCAGGUUGGUUUCUAUCUCCAGUUUAGUUGUAGUUUUUAGUACGAAAGGACCCAUACUACAAAAAAUUUUUUGUAUUUUGAAUUUCAUUA